RNAcentral lists this ribosomal RNA (775 nucleotides) under uncultured Sclerocystis. RNAcentral's name for it is "SSU rRNA". It matches the Rfam family "Eukaryotic small subunit ribosomal RNA", at positions 338 to 1114 of the family's 1831-position model. The record is from RNAcentral. Lineage: Eukaryota; Fungi; Glomeromycota; Glomeromycetes; Glomerales; Glomeraceae.
GGCCUACCAUGGUGGUAACGGGUAACGGGGUGUUAGGGCACGACACCGGAGAGGGAGCCUGAGAAACGGCUACCACAUCCAAGGAUGGCAGCAGGCGCGCAAAUUACCCAAUCCCGACACGGGGAGGUAGUGACAAUAAAUAACAAUACGGGGUUCUUUCGGAUCUCGUAAUUGGAAUGAGUACAAUUUAAAUCUCUUAACGAGGAACAAUUGGAGGGCAAGUCUGGUGCCAGCAGCCGCGGUAAUUCCACCUCCAAUAGCGUAUAUUAAAGUUGUUGCAGUUAAAAAGCUCGUAGUUGAAUUUCGGGGUCAGCAGGUUGGUCGUGCCAACGGUAUGCACUGGCCUCGCUGAUUCCUCCCUCUUGUAGAACCGUAAUGCCAUUAAGUUGGUGUUGCGGGGAAACAGGACUGUUACUUUGAAAAAAUUAGAGUGUUUAAAGCAGGCUAACGCUUGAAUACAUUAGCAUGGAAUAAUGAAAUAGGACGAUCGAUCCUAUUUUGUUGGUUUCUAGGAUUGACGUAAUGAUUAAUAGGGAUAGUUGGGGGCAUUAGUAUUCAAUUGUCAGAGGUGAAAUUCUUGGAUUUAUUGAAGACUAACUACUGCGAAAGCAUUUGCCAAGGAUGUUUUCAUUAAUCAAGAACGAAAGUUAGGGGAUCGAAGACGAUCAGAUACCGUCGUAGUCUUAACCAUAAACUAUGCCGACUAGGGAUCGGAUGAUGUUAAUUUUUUAAUGACUCAUUCGGCGCCUUACGGGAAACCAAAGUGUUUGGGUUC